AGCUGGUGAUCUUCACCAACCAGAUGGGCAUUGGACGAGGGAAACUGCCAGCAGAGGAGUUCAAGGCCAAGGUGGAGGCUGUGGUAGAGAAGCUGGGGGUUCCCUUUCAGGUAUGACUAGAAUGGAGGCUAGGGCCAGGGUAGGGUAACAAAGACCCUUGGGUGGGAGACAAACCCAGAGAGAGUCCCUGGGAUGUAUGGGACAGAGGCCUCUGCUGGGGUCAAGCCAUGAGCAGUUGUCAUGAGCUGUAUAUCCCAGAGCAUGGGCAGCUCUCUGGGGCUUGGUACCCAGCUCUUUGGGGCUUGGAAGAGCUGAGGAUGGUGUGUGACCCCUGCCCCACUUCAGGUGCUGGUGGCUACACAUGCAGGCCUGUAUCGGAAGCCGGUGACUGGCAUGUGGGACCAUCUGCAGGAGCAGGUGAGCUGUACCUCCUCUUCCCCUUGCUCUAGCCCCUGUUUCUUAGGGCUUGUUCUUUCUCUCCUCCCUUAGUCCUUGUCAUGUGGUUUAGCUGUCAGGUCCUAGGUGCUGGUAUAUGAGGUCAGUACCAUUAAGCUGAAGUCAGAGGUUGCAUCAGGAGCAGAGACAGGAGGGUAAGUUUGAGUCAGCCUGGGCAACUUAGGGAGACCCUGUCUCAAACUAUAAAAUAAGCCGGGCACAGUGUCGCAUGAAUGAAAUCCCAGCGGCUCAGGAGGCUGAGGCUGAGUUCAAAGGCAGCUGAUCAAACUCACUGAUCAGGAGUUCAAAGCUGGCCUCAGCAAAGGUGAAGCACUAAGCAACUCAGUGAGACCCUGUCUCUAAAUAAAAUACAAAAUAGGGCUGGGGAUGUGGCUCAGCUGUAGAGCACCUGCCUAGCAUGUCUGAGUCACUGGGUUCCAUCCCUAGUACCACCAAAAAAAAAAAAAAAUCAGUGGUUGAGAUUGUUAAUUCAUUCAACCAAUGGUUUGUUCUGAGCUGAAAAUCCUGGUAAAUAAUAGUGGCAUGCCUGCUGUAGCAGUACUCGUAGACCGCUGAUGGCAGCCAGCUAUAAAUGCACACAUGAGUAUAAAAUAGGAAGUAGGGUGUGAUUUUCCUACGGUAGACAGGGGGACGUCUCUAAGAAGGUGACAAAUUGAGUAAAAGUCUAAGGGAGGUGAGGGAAGAAGCCACAUGGAUAUCUGCAGAAGUGGUCCUGGCCAGAGUGACAGCUGGUGUGAAGGCCCCGAGCCUUGCGUGUUCACCAGUGCGGAUGCCCACCUGGUGGACCCAGGUGAGUGAGAGGGUGGGGCCUCGCCUUGGGGCCACGGGAGCAGAGUAGGAACGCGUGUGGGGUCUAAGUGGGGAUGGGAGCCUGGAAGCCUAUCCGCUCUGGCCUGAGUCUAGGCAGUGAAGCGUGAGAAGCGCUGCAAUGGUGAGGACUUGAGAGGUUUGAGAUCUGGCCUGAUGCAGGGAACAGACCAAGAGGAGCUGCCCCAGGGAGCCCUUUACUGCAGAGGGACAGUUGUUAGGAGUAGGUUCUAUUUGUCUCUCCAGGCCAACGAGGGCGUGCCCAUCUCUAUGGGGGACAGCAUCUUCGUGGGAGGUAAGGGCUUGGGGCUGCUGCGGGUGGGCCAAGACCCUUCUCUCCAAACCUGCUGGCAGUGAAGGGUAUCCUCGUGCGUUCCAGAUGCAGCAGGCCGCCCAGCCAACUGGGCCCCUGGCCGUAAGAAGAAAGACUUUUCCUGCGCUGACCGAUUGGUGAGCAGGUGACCGAUUGGGGAUCGGUCACCAAUGGUGAGCCCCGCACCCCGCCCUCGAUCUCUGCCUCACCUCUGCCUUUGCCCCAGUUUGCGCUCAACCUUGGCCUGCCCUUCGCCACCCCGGAGGAGUUCUUCCUUAAGCAGCCCACAGCAGCCUUUGUCCUCCCAGCAUUUGACCCGGUGAGGCCCGAGGGGUGGAAGGCAGGGAACAAGCAGGGGAAUGAGGGUCUCAACUUCUUGUUCCACCCCUCCUAGAGGACUGUCUCCUGCUCAGGGCCUCUCUGCCUCCCAGAGUCCAGCUCCCUCCUGAGCUCUGACCCAGAGGUGGUUGUCGCCGUGGGAUU
This 2059-nucleotide long non-coding RNA is filed under the name Marmota monax (woodchuck). The record is from RNAcentral. Lineage: Eukaryota; Metazoa; Chordata; Mammalia; Rodentia; Sciuridae.